CAACCUGAGAUGACACAACUGAACAGUUGUGCACAAGUUGCACCCCAUAGUCAAGGUGAAGGCGAUGGAAGGAGAGACCAUGAAACCAAGCUGUGGAAACCAGAGGAGGGGUGGGAAAUUUGAGAUUUGAUUUCUUUUCUGCUCCAGCUGGAAGAACUGCAUCUUCUGCACUCCCAGGGCUGUGGAGCCAGAGUCCCAAGGAGCCCCUCUAGCAGGAAGAUCACCGAGGGAUGAGUCAGAGGCCAGUUCCAGACUCUCUGGAAGCCUCCUUCUGGAGUAAGGGCCUUUCUUCUUGCUUCUUGACUUUGGGAUAUUUAAGGGUUACUGAAGGACACAGGUGCAGAACCAAGGUGGGAGAGUUUUUAACCCCUUUCUGGCAAUUAAAUCCAAGUGAGCUGGCCUAUUAUCUCAGGAUUUUGCCAAUUGGACGGGCUUAUGGGAGCAACCAACAAACAGAGGAAGGUAUCUUUUCUGCCUUAUGACAGCAUGGAGAUCUUACCCAAGGACUCUUCUGGUUUGUGUCAUUCAAGUACUUCAGGAUUAGAGAGGUCAUACUCUCCAUAACUACCUUAGCACUGUUUUCAGUACAUGAAAAGCAAUUAAAAUGGAUCUACUGAAGAAAAGAAAGGAUGGAUGAGUGGGAGGGAGGGUGGAUGAGUUAAGAAAAUAUAUAUUGGUUUCAACUUGCUUCAAGAACUUCAUGGCUGGGACAGAUUGCCCAAUCAAGAACCCACUGAACUCUACCUAUUCAGCUCAGACCUCUCCCCUCCCAGAAUGGUUCAUUCACAGAAUCCAUGUAUCCAAUACCCAAUCAUGCAAUACCUGGCUAUCAGCUUCAUACUUUCUGCUCACAAAUUAUAUUUAAACAGAACUCAAAUUUGA
Molecule: long non-coding RNA, 882 nt
Organism: Octodon degus (degu)
Lineage: Eukaryota; Metazoa; Chordata; Mammalia; Rodentia; Octodontidae
Exons: 5
Source: RefSeq, a predicted model, not a curated record